GCGUGGAGACAGGUGGUGCAUGGCUGUCGUCAGCUCGUGUCGUGAGAUGUUGGGUUAAGUCCCGCAACGAGCGCAACCCUCACCCCUAGUUGCCACCGGGUAAAGCCGAGCACUCGAGGGGAACUGCCAGCGCCAAGCUGGAGGAAGGCGGGGAUGACGUCAAGUCAUCAUGCCCCUUACGCCCUGGGCUACACACGUGCUACAAUGGCCGGUACAAAGGGACGCGAGACUGCAAAGUGGAGCUAAUCCCAAAAAACCGGUCUAAGUUCAGAUUGCAGUCUGCAACUCGACUGCAUGAAGGAGGAAUCGCUAGUAAUCGCGCAUCAGCACGGCGCGGUGAAUACGUUCCCGGGCCUUGUACACACCGCCCGUCACACCACGAAAGCUGUCUGUACUCGAAGUCGCUGAG
RNAcentral lists this ribosomal RNA (409 nucleotides) under uncultured Methylomirabilota bacterium. RNAcentral describes it as "bacterial SSU rRNA". It matches the Rfam family "Bacterial small subunit ribosomal RNA", at positions 1026 to 1434 of the family's 1533-position model. Lineage: Bacteria; Methylomirabilota (SeqCode). The record is from RNAcentral.